RNAcentral lists this ribosomal RNA (255 nucleotides) under uncultured bacterium. Its description in RNAcentral is "partial 16S ribosomal RNA". It matches the Rfam family "Bacterial small subunit ribosomal RNA", at positions 524 to 775 of the family's 1533-position model. The record is from RNAcentral.
UACGUAGGAGGCAAGCGUUGUCCGGAUUUACUGGGCGUAAAGCGUGCGCAGGCGGUCUGUUAAGACCGAUGUGAAAUCCCCGGGCUUAACCUGGGAACUGCAUUGGUGACUGGCAGGCUUUGAGUGUGGCAGAGGGAGGUAGAAUUCCACGUGUAGCAGUGAAAUGCGUAGAGAUGUGGAGGAAUACCGAUGGCGAAGGCAGCCUCCUGGGCCAACACUGACCGCUCGAUGCACGAAAGCGUGGGGAGCAAACAG